RNAcentral lists this transfer RNA (83 nucleotides) under Sphenostylis stenocarpa. RNAcentral's name for it is "tRNA gene-AYBTSS11_LOCUS24145". It matches the Rfam family "tRNA". Rfam says of the family: Transfer RNA (tRNA) molecules are approximately 80 nucleotides in length. Their secondary structure includes four short double-helical elements and three loops (D, anti-codon, and T loops). The record is from RNAcentral. Lineage: Eukaryota; Viridiplantae; Streptophyta; Magnoliopsida; Fabales; Fabaceae.
GUGGAUGUGCCUGGAGUGGUUAUCGGGCAUGACUAGAAAUCAUGUGGGUUCUGCCCGCGCAGGUUCGAAUCCUGCCAUUCACG